AAUUCCAUUAAAUAUAUAGAACAAAUAAAUGUUCGAUUUAGAUUUGAAAUACUUUACUGAUUCAAUCAUUUCAAGGUCUGGCUAGCAAUGGUAAUGUAUUGUAAGCAUCGUGCGUAGUGUCUUUAUUUUGUUAUCAUUCUGAAGAUCCGUAAUUUAUAUUCAAGGGAAGUAAUCACACUGAAAAUUUGGACGGUAAGCGGUGGUUAAAUUUCUUCAAAGGCUGAUUUGCUUGCUUCACCAUAUUUUAUCAAUACUUUUCUAUUUUCUAUAAGAUAGAUAAAUGAUAUGUUGUUCUAGAUGUAGCCUUGAAUUACUGUACUCUGAUUCGUCAAACACUUAGACAUUUUUAGAGGACUCAGUAUUUUUUGCUGCUGAACGCCUACUUUUAAAGUGUUUGAAGAACAGAAAUACCUUAAUUAGGUGAAACAAGCAUUUCUUGAUAUUUAAGUCAAAGAGUUUGAAAAAGCCGUUCCAAAUGUCACUUCGUGAUUAUUUUCCUGGAUACUUUUUUCCCAUGUAAACCAUUCAUUUCUUUAUUUUCAACAUCUUACAAACGGUAAUUCAAGUUUGUUAAGGUUAAAACAGUGGAGGUUUCAUUAAAGUAGGGGAACUGUCGCAUUUCAUUACAAAACGCAUGUAACUGUAAAGAGGUGCUAUUAUUUUGUAGGAGAAAUAUGUUGAAAAAAUCAUUGAAAGAUGAAAGAAAUAAAUUUUCCUGACUUUAAAGUUUUUAAAACUAAUCUCGUCUAAAUGACAUUUUCCCAGCAAACAAAAAAAAAUCCUCUUUUGGGGUAAAAAUGUCUACAAAACAAGAGAGGAAACAUGUACUUGUUUAAAGUAGUAUGGGAGUUUUCCGCGAUCCUGGAUCGCACACCACCGCAUAAGAUUGAUCCAGA
This 896-nucleotide long non-coding RNA is filed under the name Mytilus galloprovincialis (Mediterranean mussel). Lineage: Eukaryota; Metazoa; Mollusca; Bivalvia; Mytilida; Mytilidae. The record is from RNAcentral.